Non-coding RNA from Pseudomonas putida S11, 375 nucleotides. NCBI's taxonomy places the organism in Bacteria, Pseudomonadati, Pseudomonadota, Gammaproteobacteria, Pseudomonadales, Pseudomonadaceae. The record is from Rfam.
AUACGUGCAGGGUGGAGAUGCACAGCCCUCGGACCGUGUAGCACCGCGUCCGGCCUACCAGCCCACUGAGCGGCUGGCGAGCGGAUAAGGUCCUGAACAGAUGCCCCCGGGCGUCCACGGCUGACGGUUGAUUCCUCCUCCUGACUGAGUGCACAAGGCCCGCUUGGUUGAUUCGGAUUCCAAUUCGAAGCCACCGGGGCCUUGUUGGCACCGCAGCAAACAGGACGCGUCGUCGCGACAACGGCAGGCUGGGCAACCGGCUGGUGCCGAACGUCGCUCGACACGGGGGUGGCCCGGCCACCCUUUGCGCACCUUGGCACCGACCCAUGAGAAGUCGUGUGUGCCGAACGCCGUUUCCGGCAGCCCGGAAACCGA